AUUCCAGCUCCAAGAGCGUAUAUUAAAGUUGUUGCAGUUAAAAAGCUCGUAGUUGGAUUUCUGGUAUAACGCGCCUGGCCCGCUUUUGUGAGUGCCGGUGCGCGUUUGCCAUCCUUCUAGAAAACGUUUCUACCUGGGCAACUGGGCCGGAUUCGCGAUCUAGAUCUUUUACUUUGAAAAAAUUAGAGUGUUUAAAGCAGGCUUUUGCUGUGAAUACAUUAGCAUGGAAUAAUAAUCUAGGACUUCGGUUCUAUUUUGUUGGUUUCUAGUACUGAAGUAAUGAUUGAUAGGGAUAGUUGGGGGUGCUAGUAUUGGCCGGCCAGAGGUGAAAUUCUUGGAUUCGGUCAAGACUAACUUAUGCGAAAGCAUUCACCAAGGAUGUCUUCAUCA
Molecule: ribosomal RNA, 390 nt
Filed under: Cryothecomonas sp.
Lineage: Eukaryota; Cercozoa; Thecofilosea; Cryomonadida; Protaspidae
Description: partial small subunit ribosomal RNA
Rfam family: Eukaryotic small subunit ribosomal RNA
Source: RNAcentral